GAUUUCAAGUAAUUAAGUGCAUCAUAUUACAUCAUUACAUCAUUAUUGUUUUGUUGUCGAGUAUGAUUACAUCAUUAUUGUUUUGUUGCAACAAAACGCAAAUAAUAGCGCAGCAACUAAUUUUUUAACAGGGCCCAGAUAUUUUUUAAUUGGGUACAUUUAUAUUCUAAUUAUGUCCAGAUGUUCUGGAAACUUUUAGGAACAACUAAUGUUUGAGGAUGCCACCUCUAGCCACAUAUUCAACCGCAAAAGAAGAAGAAAAAAUUAGCUCUAAUUGGUAACUUAAAACAAGCAGUCAAAUUUGAAUGUUAACUUCUCUCUUUAAAUCUUAAACUGAUUGUAACAUCAUCCGAGAAAUACAUGGGGAAAAGCAAAGACAAUUAGGUUUUCUCACAAUGUUCAAAACUUUUUUGUUAAGAUAUUGGCAGGCUUUACUUGAAAACUUACCUUCCUGCAACGAGUUUAAAAGAACCUCCAACUACAAGCCAAUUUGAAAUAUUUUUCAUAGCACAAUGUACGAAGAAGAACUUGCUUUUUAUUCCAUUUACUAAUUAGACUAUUUAUAUUUCAUAAUUUCUUUAAACUAUUUUGCAGAAUUGUUUAAUGCUGGUUUUUUUACCAAAUUUAAAGUUUAGAAAAUUAUUUGACAUAUUAAAUUUUUAAUAAUUGA
Hydra vulgaris (swiftwater hydra) is the source of this 670-nucleotide long non-coding RNA. RefSeq lists it as uncharacterized. NCBI's taxonomy places the organism in Eukaryota, Metazoa, Cnidaria, Hydrozoa, Anthoathecata, Hydridae. The record is from RefSeq and is a predicted model, not a curated record.